UGGCGGCAGGCUUAACACAUGCAAGUCGAGCGGUAGCAGAUCUAGCUUGCUAGAUGCUGACGAGCGGCGGACGGGUGAGUAACGCGUAGGAACCUGCCCAGUAGUGGGGGAUAGCCCGGGGAAACUCGGAUUAAUACCACAUACGCUCUACGGAGGAAAGAGGGGGCUUCGGCUCUCGCUAUUGGAUGGGCCUGCGUGAGAUUAGCUAGUUGGUGAGGUAAUGGCUCACCAAGGCGACGAUCUCUAGCUGGUCUGAGAGGAUGAUCAGCCACACUGGGACUGAGACACGGCCCAGACUCCUACGGGAGGCAGCAGUGGGGAAUAUUGCACAAUGGGCGCAAGCCUGAUGCAGCCAUGCCGCGUGUGUGAAGAAGGCUUUCGGGUUGUAAAGCACUUUCAGUGGGGAGGAAGGCCUCGUAGUUAAUAGCUGCGAGGAUUGACGUUACCCACAGAAGAAGCACCGGCUAACUCCGUG
Molecule: ribosomal RNA, 475 nt
Filed under: uncultured bacterium
Lineage: Bacteria
Description: bacterial SSU rRNA
Rfam family: Bacterial small subunit ribosomal RNA
Source: RNAcentral